UCAAACUUGGUCAUUUAGAGGAAGUAAAAGUCGUAACAAGGUUUCCGUAGGUGAACCUGCGGAAGGAUCAUUAAAAGUGCCCCAGCCUGAGCUGGCGGACUACACCACUGCCUCGCCCUCAAGGGAAGGUUAUGUGUCCACCCUUUGUGAAACUUCUACCUUUGCUUCGGCAGCACUCUCUUCGAAGGGGUAAGGCUGUCAGAAGCCCAUAUCAAACUAGUUGAUGAAAUGUCAUGCUGUCUGAUAACUACUAUUUGAGAAAUCAAAUUGAUCUUAAAACUUUCAGCAACGGAUCUCUUGGUUCCCGCAUCGAUGAAGAACGCAGC
RNAcentral lists this unclassified non-coding RNA (326 nucleotides) under uncultured fungus. RNAcentral's name for it is "partial contains small subunit ribosomal RNA, internal transcribed spacer 1, and 5.8S ribosomal RNA". The stretch from base 1 to 73 matches the Rfam family "Eukaryotic small subunit ribosomal RNA", at positions 1759 to 1831 of the family's 1831-position model. The record is from RNAcentral. Lineage: Eukaryota; Fungi.